CCUACGGGAGGCUGCAGUGAGGAAUAUUGGUCAAUGGUCGGGAGACUGAACCAGUCAAGCCGCGUGAGGGAGGAAGGUACAGAGUAUCGUAAACCUCUUUUGUCAGGGAACAAAGACUGGGACGCGUCCCCGGAUGAGUGGACCGGAAGAAAAAGCAUCGGCUAACUCCGUGCCAGCAGCCGCGGUAAUACGGAGGAUGCGAGCGUUAUCCGGAUUUAUUGGGUUUAAGGGGUGCGCGGGCGGUCUGUAACGUCAGCGGUCGAAGCCCGGGGCUCAACCCCGGCCCGCCGUUGAAACUGGCAGUCUCGAGUUGGAGAGAAGUAUGCGGAAUGCGCGGUGUAGCGGUGAAAUGCAUAGAUAUCGCGCAGAACUCCGAUUGCGAAGGCAGCAUGCCGGCUCCACACUGACGCUGAGGCACGAAAGCGUGGGUAUCGAACAGGAUUAGAUACCCCUGUAGUC
RNAcentral lists this ribosomal RNA (459 nucleotides) under uncultured bacterium. Its description in RNAcentral is "partial 16S ribosomal RNA". It matches the Rfam family "Bacterial small subunit ribosomal RNA", at positions 338 to 795 of the family's 1533-position model. The record is from RNAcentral.